RNAcentral lists this long non-coding RNA (1087 nucleotides) under Cricetulus griseus (Chinese hamster). RNAcentral's name for it is "lncRNA (ENSCGRG00015037380.1)". The record is from RNAcentral. Lineage: Eukaryota; Metazoa; Chordata; Mammalia; Rodentia; Cricetidae.
GUAAGAACACCUGAAAUAUAGGUGUUAUUUCUAAGGUGCUGAUUCAUAGAAUGAAGUUUAGAAUAGAGAUAGGUUUGUUACUGGGAGAAGGAAAAAACACUAAUGAUCCUUGGUAAUGAGUUUUUGCAGCUAUCUGUCUUAAACGCAUGGUGAACAGAAAGAAGGUUUGGAAUGAUGCUAGAGGUAAAUUUCCUGUCAUUUGCUGUGGUUCCCCCAUGAUUCAUGACUUAGUCAUGAUGAGAAUUUCCAUAAGAUGAGUAAUACAGUGAGUGGUUAGUAUAAAGAGUUCCAUGGCAAUGAAACAUAAAAAAAAAAAAAUGUCUACCAAACUUAUCUGAAGAGUUCAGGUUUUCUCCGUGUAACACUCCUGGCUGUCCUGGAACUCACUUUGUAGAUCAGGUUGGCUUAAACUCACUGAGACCUACCUGCCUCUGCCACCAAAGUACUGGGAUUAAAGUUGUGUACAACCACUGCCCAGCCUGUAUCUAGGGCUCUUCAGUGUGGGCAGAGCAGAAGGAUGCACUGCUCUUGGGAGCCAAGAGCUAGGAGAGAAGACCCUGGAAGAGCAGUCCCUCCAGAUGGACCUGUGAUCUUGCCUGUGUCAUUGCUGACGAAAUGUGCAUGGCCCAGCAACUCCUCCCAAGCUUCAUAAUCAGAGACCUCACUGCUGUAUGACCAUGCUUAGUUACCUGCUGUGAGUGGUAGGCAGCCUCACUGCUUCCAGAUUCCUUUGAGCAUUCCUUUCCCUCAAACAGGGUUUCUCUGUGUAACAGCUCUGGCUGUUCUGGAGCUCACUUGAAAGACCCCCGAAGAGGUACUUUCGUAGAGGGAGACCCGCACCCAGGAAUCAGCGAGACCACGAACUUGGAUGCAAACUGCAAGAGGCUUUAUUGGAGAUACGGGUACCCGGGCGACUUAGCUUCUGAAAUUCUUCUUGUUGACGCACUCAUCUGUUACAUGUAUCACAUUCAAAAAGGGACUAAGAACUUACAAGCCACCCCUUGCAGUUUCUAGGACUCAAAUAAUAUACAAAUGGUUAUGAAAGCAUGCAUAACACCUGUGCAAGUCCAAGUCAGAACAAAUCCCA